GAUUAGCAUUAGGUUUACACACCCACGAUUAGCAUUAGGUUUACACACCCACGAUUAGCAUUAGGUUUACACACCCACGAUUAGCAUUAGGUUUACACUCCCACGAUUAGCAUUAGGUUUACACUCCCACGAUUAGCAUUAGGUUUACACACCCACGAUUAGCAUUAGGUUUACACACCCACGAUUAGCAUUAAGUUUACACUCCCACGAUUACCAUUAGGUUUACACUCCCACGAUUAGCAUUAGGUUUACACUCCCACGAUUAGCAUUAGGUUUACACUCCCACGAUUAGCAUUAGGUUUACACACGAUUUAGUAAUGAUAGAAAGCAUGUUUCCCAAUUUAGAUUUCUUGUAGUUUACACACAAAAAAACAUGUGUACUGUAAAGUAUAUUAGUUUAGUAUUUGCAAAACAAUUUUACCAGCGCAACUCCCUUUCAGGAAUUCUAAUAAAACAAUUGAUGCAGUACUGAAAAUACUGCUAUGCUUGUACUUGGAACUAACACUUUUUGGUCUAAAAGGGUGUACUUAGAAAUAUAUAUAUAUGUUUGGAUGGAGCAAAAAAAAACAUAACAAAAUAUAGGCGUUCCCAGGUCAUCCUCUUAGACAUAUCAGCAUUCCCAGGUCAUCCUCUUAGACAUAUCAGCAUUCCCAGGUCAUCCUCUUAGACAUAUCAGCAUUCCCAGGCCAUCCUCUUAGACAUAUCAGCAUUCCUAGUUCAUCCUCUUAGACAUAUCAGCAUUCCCAGAUCAUCCUCUUAGACAUAUCAGCAUUCCCAGGUCAUCCUCUUAGACAUAUCAGCAUUCCCAGGUCAUCCUCUUAGACACAUCAGCAUUCCCAGGUCAUCCUCUUAGACACAUCAGCAUUCCCAGGCCAUCCUCUUAGACACAUCAGCAUUCCCAGGUCAUCCUCUUAGACACAUCAGCAUUCCCAGGUCAUCCUCUUAGACACAUCAGCAUUCCCAGGUCAUCCUCUUAGACACAUCAGCAUUCCCAGGUCAUCCUCUUAGACACAUCAGCAUUCCCAGGUCAUCCUCUUAGACACAUCAGCAUUCCCAGGUCAUCCUCUUAGACACAUCAGCAUUCCCAGGUCAUCCUCUUAGACACAUCAGCAUUCCCAGGUCAUCCUCUUAGACACAUCAGCAUUCCCAGGUCAUCCUCUUAGACACAUCAGCAUUCCCAGGUCAUCAUCUUAGACACAUCAGCAUUCCCAGGUCAUCCUCUUAGACACAUCAGCAUUCCCAGGUCAUCCUCUUAGACACAUCAGCAUUCCCAGGUCAUCCUCUUAGACACAUCAGCAUUCCCAGGUCAUCCUCUUAGACACAUCAGCAUUCCCAGGUCAUCCUCGUAGACACAUCAGCAUUCCCAGGUCAUCCUCUUAGACACAUCAGCAUUCCCAGGUCAUCCUCUUAGACAUUGAUGGUACUUGAGAGGAAUGAAUUUACAUGGUUGAGGACAGAAUUGUUGGGAUUAAACUACAAGGACAAUGAAGAUUCCUACUGAUGCUACUUUUGCUAUUGUUGGUGUGGUGUAACAACUACUACUAUUACUGUUAAUUGUUUCGGGCUGUUUGUACUACCGUUUUGAAUCAAAUCAAAUGUAUUUACAAAGCCCUUCUUACAUCAGCUGAUGUCACAAAGUGCUGUACAGAAACCCAGCCUAAAACCCCAAACAGCACGCAAUGCAGGUGUAGAAGCACAGUGGCUAGGAAAAACUCCCUAGAAAGACCAGAACCUAGGAAGAAACCUAGAGAGGAACCAGGCUAUGAGGGGUGGCCAGUCCUCUUCUGGCUGUGCCGGGUGGAGAUUAGAAACCUAGAGAGGAACCAGGCUAUGUGGGGUGGCCAGUCCUCUUCUGGCUGUGCCGGGUGGAGAUUAGAAACCUAGAGA
Oncorhynchus keta (chum salmon) is the source of this 1887-nucleotide long non-coding RNA. RefSeq lists it as uncharacterized. NCBI's taxonomy places the organism in Eukaryota, Metazoa, Chordata, Actinopteri, Salmoniformes, Salmonidae. The transcript is spliced from 5 exons. The record is from RefSeq and is a predicted model, not a curated record.